UUGCCAGCAACCUAUUCUUCAGUCUACUUGCUAUGCAGCCCUAUCCUGCUGUGUCCCCGUGCUGCUCACCCGUCCCUGCCCCCUCAACGAAGGGUCCUCAUCAUGGCCAAGCUGAGUGCUGGAUGAGGUGUCAGAGCCCCCCCUCCAGCCUCUGCAGGGCUGGCCUGGAGAAGCACCUUGCUUUUGUCAGGCAGGUGAGCAGAUUUUGGCUGCAAAUACUGAAAAGAGGGUGUUUCAUUAAAAAAUGUCAGCUUUCUGGAGCAGUUCUGCAGAUAUAAAAUGUGCCUUAACCUUGCUGGACCAGUUGAUCUUCAGCACCUCAUUUUGCAAUGGGACAUCAACAUCCCCCCAAAGACACAAGAGUCCUUGGUCUUCUAUCUAAACCCAUGACUUACAUAAAUAAGCUGUCUGACCCCUUUUAAACCCAUGCUGCACCUCACUCCAGCCUCUUGCCUUCAACGACACCCGUGGAUCCCCCAUGCCACCUCCCACUGCCCCCGAGAUGUUGUGGUUACACUUGUGACAGGAGCCCCAGGGGCCACGUUGUUAGUGGCACGGCAGAAAAUGCUCCUACAGGAGAAUUUGGGUACAGAACCCUCCCGUGCGCAUGGCUGGGAGCACAACUCGUUUUGCAGGGUUACAAGCCGUGGGCUCACCUCGACCGCAGGAGAUUCGCCCAGACCUGGGCACCCCGGUGCAGGCUGCAGCUUGGGGCACAGAGCUGCCGAUCACUGGGGACCCAGACAUGACCUCGCUCCCAUGCACCGCAUCCCCAGCAAGCACCGCUACAUGCCCUGACACCUGUCACCUACCUUCUUCCACGGGUGCAGGGCGACGGGAUGACACUGCUCCCUCCGGCAUCUGCCGACUCCCAGCCGGAAUGAGUCAGGCUCCUUUCCCGGCCAGGCAGUGCCAGGGAGAAGGGACCCCGCGCCGGGAGAGCUGGAUUGUUACAGAGAGGAAGAUGUGUCUUCAUUCUCCUGCAGCCUUCUUUCUCCCCUGGCACAUCUCCUGCCAUUUGGAAGUACCCUGGUUGAAAGGGCAGGGAGAGCAAGCACCACCAGGC
Molecule: long non-coding RNA, 1066 nt
Filed under: Lonchura striata (white-rumped munia)
Lineage: Eukaryota; Metazoa; Chordata; Aves; Passeriformes; Estrildidae
Description: domestica (Bengalese finch) lncRNA (ENSLSDG00000002400.1)
Source: RNAcentral